Pseudophryne corroboree (corroboree frog) is the source of this 561-nucleotide long non-coding RNA. RefSeq lists it as uncharacterized. The transcript has 2 exons. The record is from RefSeq and is a predicted model, not a curated record. NCBI's taxonomy places the organism in Eukaryota, Metazoa, Chordata, Amphibia, Anura, Myobatrachidae.
GGGAUGCAUGGUGCCAUUUGUGAAUAAAUAUUACCCAACUCACCAUAGGAUAUUCCAAGACAAUGAUCCUAAACACUCCGCCUCUGCCAAAUUUAUGGAAGAGAAAGAUCACCAGACAUGAAUCCAAUUGAAUUAGUGUGGGCUCAAUUGAAGAGGUACAUUAGGAGUGUUGCGAAGCCAACAACAAAACAGCAGCUGUUGGAUGGGAUUAAGAAAUUUUGGCUAGAAGUACUCACACCUGAGCAUUGUAAUAAUUAUAUAAAUCACCUGUAUAAAGUAUUACCUGUUAUAGUCGAAAGAAAUGGUCAAGCCACAAAUAUGUAGUUCUGUACUAUAUUUUAUGUUUAAAAUUUUUAAUUGGUGCAUUAUUAAAAAUGUUUAUAAAAUUCCCUUUGUCUGAUUAUUGCAUAAACUAAUGUUGAAUAUUAUACAGUAGUAAUGUUAUUGAUGUGUAUGAACAGUUAUUUUCUGUUUUAUAAGUCCUGAAUAAGAGUACUGUACAUUUUGAUCAGUACAGUACAUGCAAUCGUAUGUUGUAAUAAAUACUUUUUUUUACAUUAA